CAGCCGCCGCGGUAAUACGGAGGGUGCAAGCGUUAAUCGGAAUUACUGGGCGUAAAGCGCACGCAGGCGGUUUGUUAAGUCAGAUGUGAAAUCCCCGAGCUUAACUUGGGAACUGCAUUUGAAACUGGCAAGCUAGAGUCUUGUAGAGGGGGGUAGAAUUCCAGGUGUAGCGGUGAAAUGCGUAGAGAUCUGGAGGAAUACCGGUGGCGAAGGCGGCCCCCUGGACAAAGACUGACGCUCAGGUGCGAAAGCGUGGGGAGCAAACAGGAUUAGAUACCCCAGUAGUCCCUGUCUAUUAUAA
Molecule: ribosomal RNA, 301 nt
Filed under: uncultured bacterium
Lineage: Bacteria
Description: partial 16S ribosomal RNA
Rfam family: Bacterial small subunit ribosomal RNA
Source: RNAcentral